This 873-nucleotide ribosomal RNA is filed under the name uncultured marine bacterium. Its description in RNAcentral is "bacterial SSU rRNA". It matches the Rfam family "Bacterial small subunit ribosomal RNA", at positions 28 to 896 of the family's 1533-position model. The record is from RNAcentral.
AUUGAACGCUGGCGGUAGGCUUAACACAUGCAAGUCGUGCGAGAAAGUAUCUUCGGAUAUGAGUAGAGCGGCGGACGGGUGAGUAACGCGUAGGAAUCUACCUAGUAGAAGGGGAUAGCCCGAGGAAACUCGGAUUAAUACCGUAUACCUCCUUAGGGAGAAAGAGGGCCUCUCUUUGAUGCUCUCGCUAUUAGAUGAGCCUGCGUAAGAUUAGCUUGUUGGUGAGGUAAUGGCUCACCAAGGCUACGAUCUUUAGCUGGUCUGAGAGGACGAUCAGCCACAUUGGGACUGAGACACGGCCCAGACUCCUACGGGAGGCAGCAGUGGGGAAUAUUGGACAAUGGGCGCAAGCCUGAUCCAGCCAUACCGCGUGUGUGAAGAAGGCCCUAGGGUUGUAAAGCACUUUAAGCAGGGAGAAAAAGUUAUAAGUUAAUACCUUAUGGCCUUGAUGUUACCUGCAGAAUAAGCACCGGCUAAUUCCGUGCCAGCAGCCGCGGUAAUACGGAAGGUGCAAGCGUUAAUCGGAAUUACUGGGCGUAAAGCGCGCGUAGGUGGUUUGUUAAGUUGGAUGUGAAAGCCCUGGGCUCAACCUAGGAACUGCAUCCAAAACUAACUCACUAGAGUACGAUAGAGGGAGGUAGAAUUCAUAGUGUAGCGGUGGAAUGCGUAGAUAUUAUGAAGAAUACCAGUGGCGAAGGCGGCCUCCUGGAUCUGUACUGACACUAAGGUGCGAAAGCGUGGGUAGCGAACAGGAUUAGAUACCCUGGUAGUCCACGCCGUAAACGAUGACAACUAGCUGUUGGAAGACAACGUCUUUCAGUGGCGCAGCUAACGUUUUAAGUUGUCCGCCUGGGGAGUACGGCCGCAAGGCUA